Molecule: long non-coding RNA, 213 nt
Filed under: Lathyrus oleraceus (garden pea)
Lineage: Eukaryota; Viridiplantae; Streptophyta; Magnoliopsida; Fabales; Fabaceae
Description: Pisum sativum (pea) long non-coding RNA (PSAT_LNC019051)
Source: RNAcentral
CACUUGAUCUUGCUUAACAACUUUGAUCAAGUAGACACACACUUGAUCUUCCUUCACAACUUUGAUCAAGUAGACACACACUCUUGCUUACAAGCUUAGAGUGACAAUUUACAACCCACAAAUCAGACCAAUUCAAUCAUCUAUGGAUGAAUUGAAUGGCUUACAAGUCUCAUGAAUAAACAAGACACAAACCCUUGCUCUCUCUCAAUAUUU